RNAcentral lists this ribosomal RNA (408 nucleotides) under uncultured bacterium. RNAcentral's name for it is "partial 16S ribosomal RNA". It matches the Rfam family "Bacterial small subunit ribosomal RNA", at positions 28 to 526 of the family's 1533-position model. The record is from RNAcentral.
AUUGAACGCUGGCGGCAGGCCUAACACAUGCAAGUCGAGGGUAGCGGCGGACGGGUGAGUAAUACGUGGGUAACCUGCCCUCCUUUUUGGGAUAAGCCUUGGAAACCGGGUCUAAUACCGAAUAAAGGGGGAUGGGCUCGCGGCCUAUCAGGUUGUUGGUGGGGGGACGGCCUACCAAGGCGGUGACGGGUAGCCGGCCUGAGAGGGUGACCGGCCACAUUGGGGCUGAGAGACGGCCCAGGCGCCUACGGGGGGCAGCAGUGGGGCAUAGUGCGCAAUGGGCGAAAGCCUGAUGCAGCGACGCCGGGUGGGGGGUGAAGGCUUUCGGGUUGUAAACCUCUUUCGCAAUCGAAGGGGUAGGUGGAGAAGAAGCGCCGGCUAACUACGUGCCAGCAGCCGCGGUAAUUC